RNAcentral lists this ribosomal RNA (253 nucleotides) under uncultured bacterium. RNAcentral's name for it is "partial 16S ribosomal RNA". It matches the Rfam family "Bacterial small subunit ribosomal RNA", at positions 524 to 776 of the family's 1533-position model. The record is from RNAcentral.
UACGUAGGGUGCGAGCGUUAAUCGGAAUUACUGGGCGUAAAGGGUGCGCAGGCGGUUAUGGGAGAAAGGUGUGAAAUCCCCGGGCUUAACCUGGGAACUGCAUUUGUGACUGCAUAGCUAGAGUACGGCAGAGGGGGAUGGAAUUCCGCGUGUAGCAGUGAAAUGCGUAGAUAUGCGGAGGAACACCGAUGGCGAAGGCAAUCCCCUGGGCCUGUACUGACGCUCAUGCACGAAAGCGUGGGGAGCAAACAGG